RNAcentral lists this ribosomal RNA (538 nucleotides) under Streptococcus pneumoniae. RNAcentral's name for it is "partial 23S ribosomal RNA". It matches the Rfam family "Bacterial large subunit ribosomal RNA", at positions 1002 to 1539 of the family's 2925-position model. Lineage: Bacteria; Bacillati; Bacillota; Bacilli; Lactobacillales; Streptococcaceae. The record is from RNAcentral.
GAUCCGUAGUCGAAAGGGAAACAGCCCAGACCACCAGCUAAGGUCCCCAAAUAUAUGUUAAGUGGAAAAGGAUGUGGGGUUGCUUAGACAACCAGGAUGUUGGCUUAGAAGCAGCCACCAUUGAAAGAGUGCGUAAUAGCUCACUGGUCGAGUGACCCCGCGCCGAAAAUGUACCGGGGCUAAACAUAUUACCGAAACUGUGGAUGAACCUCUUUAGAGGUUCGUGGUAGGAGAGCGUUCUAAGGGCGGUGAAGUCAGACCGGAAGGACUGGUGGAGCGCUUAGAAGUGAGAAUGCCGGUAUGAGUAGCGAAAGAAGGGUGAGAAUCCCUUCCACCGAAUAUCUAAGGUUUCCUGAGGAAGGCUCGUCCGCUCAGGGUUAGUCGGGACCUCAGCCGAGGCCGAUAGGCGUAGGCGAUGGACAACAGGUAGAGAUUCCUGUACCAGUGCUAAUUGUUUAACAGAUGGGGUGACACAGAAGGAUAGGGAAUCGCACGAAUGGAAAUGUGCGUCCAAGCAGUGAGUGUGAGAAGUAGGCAA